ACUAGUGUGGCGUAGUGGUUUGAGUGUUGGACUAUGGCUCUAGAGUCCAGGGUUCCACUCCCAGCUCGACCA
Non-coding RNA from Phrynosoma platyrhinos (Desert horned lizard), 72 nucleotides. The record is from the annotation of a GenBank genome assembly. NCBI's taxonomy places the organism in Eukaryota, Metazoa, Chordata, Lepidosauria, Squamata, Phrynosomatidae.